GUCUGUGAGAAAUAAGGAGUAAGAAGGGGAUUUUCAGUGGUGAUAAACUGUUGGGUGGCAGGAUUCCAUUUACUUCUUUGCUCCAUUGUUUAGGUUUGAGGAAAAAAAAAUCUUAGAAUGGGUAACAUGUACUGAGCUAAGCAAUUAGCAUAUAAAACUAUGACCUUUACCUCAAAGGAAAUUAGUAUCUAGAGACAGUGGCCAAGAAAUCCACAGAAGCCUGCUCUUGGGGUGGGAGUCAUGUGAACUUCUUAGAUCAAUGGUUUUGGGGGAUUUACUUUAAUCAGUUGCUGGUUUAUUUGUCAUGGCAAAGGUAACCAAAGGUUGUCUAUGUUCAUAGACUGGAUCUUAGUUGCUCAACUCCUUUUAAGAAAAACAUGGUGUCCCAAUCACGGAUGUUAAGAAAGCAGCUAGGGUCAAAUGUCAACCACGCCCCCAGCUGUAGGUAGACACAGUUUUUAUUCUUGGUGACCAAUCGAGAAGUGCGUAAGUUCUUCUAGUUCAGAUAGUUUACAGGAAAAUAAUUUCCAAUUAAAAUAAUUUUCAAGUACUCACAGUGAAUACCUAGGAAAUUCUGUUAUACUUGUUGUAGUAGGCUUUGACAGACAGACAGACAGAACUGCAGGCCACAAAUCAGAGUGGUCACAUUGGUAAAGGUCACUUGGCCAUUUAUCCUUUACUGCAUUUCCUAGACACUAUAGCUAAUUCUUUCCCAGUGCUCACUGUGUCUGGGAUAUACCUUAUCUUUGUAGCUCUCCCCCCCCCCCCACAUACUUUCUUUCUUUACAUCAAAGAAAUUUAUCAAAAUAGUUUUGCUUACUCAAAAAUACAUGUAACUAAACUCUUGAGAUUCUGCCAGUUCUCCUUUGGCUGUCUCCAUGGUCACAGUGAGACCACAGGGUCACCAUGGGGAGGCCACUGGGUGACUGAGGCCACUCAGUACAACUAUUUGUUCCUUUUUCAUGCAUUCGGAAGUAGAAGACAGAACGAAGGGAACAUCAAAUAAAAGUCGGGACACCUUGAUCCCUGAUGUCCAGUUACUUGGGAGGUCUCUCUCUCUAUAUCAGAUGUGAUAGAUGGGUGCUCCUUCCUCAGAUAUGGUGGGUGUAUACUUGGUAGGAGAGGAAGACACCCUCUGAGGCAGCUUCCAUAGCCUUGGCUGCAGGGAGGAAGCUGCAAGAGGAAGAAGUGGGAGGUGACCAGUGUUACUGCUGCAGUCCUGACCUUUGAAUGCUGCAGUGGAGAGAGUGCCCCUCUGAGGUGGGGGAAGCUGAAGAUGAGUUUAUUCAUGGGAGGUGGAGUUGGUAUCUAGUUUAGCC
Molecule: long non-coding RNA, 1319 nt
Filed under: Mus musculus (house mouse)
Lineage: Eukaryota; Metazoa; Chordata; Mammalia; Rodentia; Muridae
Description: long non-coding RNA chr17:7174302-7175621
Source: RNAcentral